UGGGGAAUAUUGCACAAUGGGCGCAAGCCUGAUGCAGCCAUGCCGCGUGUAUGAAGAAGGCCUUCGGGUUGUAAAGUACUUUCAGUCGGGAGGAAGGUGUCAAGGUUAAUAACCUUGGCAAUUGACGUUACCGACAGAAGAAGCACCGGCUAACUCCGUGCCAGCAGCCGCGGUAAUACGGAGGGUGCAAGCGUUAAUCGGAAUUACUGGGCGUAAAGCGCACGCAGGCGGUUGAUUGAGUCAGAUGUGAAAUCCCCGGGCUUAACCCGGGAAUUGCAUCUGAUACUGGUCAGCUAGAGUCUUGUAGAGGGGGGUAGAAUUCCAUGUGUAGCGGUGGAAUGCGUAGAGAUGUGGAGGAAUACCGGUGGCGAAGGCGGCCCCCUGGACAAAGACUGACGCUCAGGUGCGAAAGCGUGGGGAGCAAACAGG
Molecule: ribosomal RNA, 429 nt
Filed under: Chloroflexota bacterium
Lineage: Bacteria; Bacillati; Chloroflexota
Description: Chloroflexi bacterium partial 16S ribosomal RNA
Rfam family: Bacterial small subunit ribosomal RNA
Source: RNAcentral